AGUGAACGCUGGCGGUAGGCCUAACACAUGCAAGUCGAACGGCAGCGCAGUAAGCGCUUGCUCUUACGGUUGGCGAGUGGCGGACGGGUGAGGAAUACAUCGCAAUCUACUUUUUCGUGGGGGAUAACGUAGGGAAACUUACGCUAAUACCGCAUACGUCCUACGGGUGAAAGCAGGGGAUCUUCGCACCUUGCGCGAUUGAAUUAGCCGAUGUCGGAUUAGCUAGUUGGCUGGGUAAAGGCCCACCAAGGCGACGAUCCGUAGCUGAUCUGAGAGGAUGAUCAGCCACACUGGAACUGAGACACGGUCCAGACUCCUACGGGAGGCAGCAGUGGGGAAUAUUGGACAAUGGGCGAAAGCCUGAUCCAGCAAUACCGCGUGAGUGAAGAAGGCCUUCGGGUUGUAAAGCCCUGUUGUUGGGAAAGAAAAGAAGCAGGUUUAUACCCCGCUAUUCUGACGGUACCCAAAGAAAAAGCAACGGCUAACUUCGUG
Molecule: ribosomal RNA, 492 nt
Filed under: uncultured bacterium
Lineage: Bacteria
Description: partial 16S ribosomal RNA
Rfam family: Bacterial small subunit ribosomal RNA
Source: RNAcentral